RNAcentral lists this ribosomal RNA (403 nucleotides) under uncultured bacterium. RNAcentral's name for it is "bacterial SSU rRNA". It matches the Rfam family "Bacterial small subunit ribosomal RNA", at positions 84 to 477 of the family's 1533-position model. The record is from RNAcentral.
CCAUGAGUAGAGUGGCAAACGGGUGAGUAACACGUGGGUGACCUGCCUUCGAGCGGGGGAUAACGUCCCGAAAGGGACGCUAAUACCGCAUAACAUCCUGCCUUUUAAGAGGUGGAGAUCAAAGCCGGGGAUCGCAAGACCUGGCACUUGAAGAGGGGCCCGCGCCUGAUUAGCUAGUUGGUGGGGUAAUGGCUCACCAAGGCAACGAUCAGUAUCCGGCCUGAGAGGGCGGACGGACACACUGGGACUGAGACACGGCCCAGACUCCUACGGGAGGCAGCAGUGGGGAAUUGUUCGCAAUGGGCGCAAGCCUGACGACGCAACGCCGCGUGGAGGAUGAAGACCUUCGGGUCGUAAACUCCUUUCGAUCGAGACGAAUGGUUUCCGGGUGAACAAUCCGGAG